CCCUUAGAUGUUCUGGGCAGCACGCGCGCUACAAUGGUCUUCGCAAACGGAUGCAUUCUCGAAGGAGAAUGCCAAUCUUGGAAUCUAUGCCUUGGUCGGGACGGUUGCUUGCAAUUUUUCGACUCGAACCAGGAAUUCCUUGUAAUCGUGAUUCAUCACAUCACGAUGAAUACGUCCCUGCCCUUUGUACACACCGCCCGUCGCUCCUACCGAUCGAAGAGUUAGGUGAAUUGUUUUGAUCGAUAAGAUUUGACUAUGGUCAACUCUCGUUGUGAAAUCCUGUGAAUCUGACUGUUUAGAGGAAGGAAAAGUCGUAACA
This 319-nucleotide ribosomal RNA is filed under the name uncultured eukaryote. RNAcentral's name for it is "partial 18S ribosomal RNA". It matches the Rfam family "Eukaryotic small subunit ribosomal RNA", at positions 1470 to 1796 of the family's 1831-position model. The record is from RNAcentral.